This 669-nucleotide ribosomal RNA is filed under the name Nestrius sp. NZAC 03037795. RNAcentral's name for it is "partial large subunit ribosomal RNA". It matches the Rfam family "Eukaryotic large subunit ribosomal RNA", at positions 202 to 670 of the family's 3401-position model. Lineage: Eukaryota; Metazoa; Arthropoda; Insecta; Coleoptera; Curculionidae. The record is from RNAcentral.
CCCAUAGAGGGUGCCAGGCCCGUAGUGACCGCUGCUGAUCGCGGGAGGGUCUCUCCUCAGAGUCGGGUUGCUUGAGAGUGCAGCCCUAAGUGGGUGGUAAACUCCAUCUAAGGCUAAAUAUGACCACGAGACCGAUAGCGAACAAGUACCGUGAGGGAAAGUUGAAAAGCACUUUGAAGAGAGAGUUCAAGAGUACGUGAAACCGUUUAGGGGUAAACCUGAGAAACCCGAAAGGUCGAAGGGAGAAAUUCAUUCGCGUUUCGUCGUUAGCGGUGAGACGAUCGUGUGACGGAGAACGCGUUCGCGUGUUUUCCGCACCUUUUGUUUUUCGAUCUGAUGACGAACGCGUGCACUUUUCUCCUGGAAGGACGUCGCGAUCCGAUGGCUGUCGGUCUACGGCUCGCGGUGGAGCCCGAACGUACGGCUUGCCGUCUCGUUCGGACCCGUGUGUCCCGGCUGACUCGCUCGACGGUAUACGAAAAGUUUAAGGCCGCUCUUCUUUGAGCGUUCGGGUUGCGGGAAGCGCGUCAGAUGUAUGUCGGCGAUCGGACCUAGUGCCGGUUCUGACCUCUGGCGACUGUUGCUGCAAAGUUCUCGAACAGACUUUGACCGAUCUGCGACGCUAUAGCUUUGGGUACUUUCAGGACCCGUCUUGAAACACGGACCAAG